Molecule: ribosomal RNA, 245 nt
Filed under: uncultured bacterium
Lineage: Bacteria
Description: partial small subunit ribosomal RNA
Rfam family: Bacterial small subunit ribosomal RNA
Source: RNAcentral
AGAAUCAACGCUGGCGGCGUGCCUAACACAUGCAAGUCGAACGAGAAAGUGGAGCAAUCCAUGAGUAAAGUGGCGCACGGGUGAGUAACACGUGACUAACCUACCCUUGAGUGGGGGAUAACCUAGAGAAAUCUGGGCUAACACCGCAUAAUACCUUCGGGUCAAAGGAGCAAUUCGCUUAAGGAGGGGGUCGCGGCCGAUUAGUUAGUUGGCGGGGUAAUGGCCCACCAAGACUGUGAUCGGUA